This 1663-nucleotide long non-coding RNA is filed under the name Callithrix jacchus (white-tufted-ear marmoset). RNAcentral describes it as "lncRNA (ENSCJAG00000080764.1)". Lineage: Eukaryota; Metazoa; Chordata; Mammalia; Primates; Cebidae. The record is from RNAcentral.
AGGCUGCAUGUACAAAGGCUUGCAGAAAGAUAGGAGGGAGUGUGAUGGGUUUCGAAACAUUACAUUGAGAAAUGAGGCCAGAAGGUGGGUCAGUGCCAGAUUUUCAAGGGCAUUGACUUCCAUUUUAAUGAGCUUGGACUCUAGCCUGUAGGCAGUGGGGAGCAACAGUUUUUGAGCAGGGAAGUGACAUGAUCAGAUUUGCAUUUUAGAAAUAUGACUCUGGCUGUGAAGUUGAGUUUGGAUAGGAGAGCAGCAGGCUGAAAGCAGAGAAAAGAGUUAAGAGAUAACUACAAUGGCGCGGAGUAAGGGGUUGCUGAACUUGGACAAUGGCAGUGGGGAGACAAAAGUGGGAGAAUUUCAUUGUUAGGUCCACCAUGCGACAGAAGAUGAACAGUCUUCAAAGGAUGUUUGAAGCUCUACUACUCAGCACUCAGUGGUGCACUGGAACCAGCCUGCAGUAGCUCAUGAGAGCCAAUGAUAUGGAACAAAAGACAUAGAAAAGGUUCCUGUGAAAUGUCCAUUCAUUCAACAGAAAUUCAUGGAGCACCCACUCAGUGCCAGGAAAUGUAUGAAAGUCUGGGGAACAAGACUGAAGUUAUCCUUGCCUUCAAGCAACUUGCAAUUUCCUAAGAACACAGUUUAAAACCACAAACCUAUUUAAAUGUAAUUCCAAUCUUUGUGAUUCAGGUUAAGUGACUCCAGCAAUGUAAGGUUAGUUCCAGAGAAGUUAAAUAAAUAAUCAGUGGAAGUUAUUUUGAGCAUGAGAUGAGGCCCUGGAGCAGGUCAAGAUCCACCCAGGACUUGAUCUAGUGUCUAGGUAAGCCUGUGACCUAUAUGGCUUUGAGUAAGUUUCCUGCGGGUGGAUUUCACAGGACUUAAAUGUUUCACGGGUAACUUUUAAGAGAAGGUAAUAGAAGGAGCCUAGACAUGGAAGCAAAGACUUACUUUGAGUUUUAAUUCACUCAAUUGUUAUAUUAUUCAUUCAUUCACCAAAUAUGUAUUGCAUCUGCAUCUUUUCAGGGUGAGUUAUUAUUAUUCUCAUCAGUACUCAGAGAUGUUUAAAAAAAACUUGCCCAAAGCUACAGCAUUUUUAGGUGGCAGACCUGGGCUUUAUUUUUUGGCACUCUGGCCAAAGACCAAAAUCUUGGCCCUUCCUUUAUUCAUUAACUCAUUAACUGAUUGAUUUAUUUGCCUAGCAACUAUUUAUUGAGUGCCUACUAUCUUUCAGGAAUUACAUCAAUUGCUGGGAUAAUGGGUGAACAGGGCAAAGGCUGUUUUGAUCUUUCAUGAGCUGAUUACCCACAUGCCAUGAGGUUAAAAUUAUUUCUGCACUUUCUUUAUCAGAGGAUUAUUUUAAACAUCUAAACUACAUACAAAUUUGGGAGCAUUUUUGUAAGCCACAAAAUUCUCUACAGUCAGAAGUUUAUUAUAAUUGUUAUUCAUUCAAGGGUUAUAUGAUUCAAUAAUAAUAUUUAAAAACAUUAUUCUUACAACUUGACAUUCCCUCUAUAAUUUUUUUUUGCUCUCUUCCUUUCCCCUGUAUGCAAGUAAAAACAUCUACAAGGUAACAGAAUUUAAAUGAGCCCUAUUUAUAGGAAUUUGAAUUUCUAAAAUUUAUUUAGAAAAGCAAAUUAAACAAUAGUUCUCUUAGUUCAUUUAAAAC